Molecule: ribosomal RNA, 253 nt
Filed under: uncultured bacterium
Lineage: Bacteria
Description: partial 16S ribosomal RNA
Rfam family: Bacterial small subunit ribosomal RNA
Source: RNAcentral
UACGUAGGUGGCAAGCGUUGUCCGGAUUUACUGGGCGUAAAGAGCGCGCAGGCGGUCGUUCAAGUCGCGUGUGAGAGCCCCCGGCUCAACUGGGGAGGGUCACGCGAUACUGAUCGACUGGAAGGCAGGAGAGGGUAGUGGAAUUCCCGGUGUAGUGGUGAAAUGCGUAGAUAUCGGGAGGAACACCGGUGGCGAAGGCGGCGACCUGGGUAGAUACUGACGCUGAGGCGCGAAAGCGUGGGGAGCAAACAGG